UUUCUCAAAAGCUGGGCUGCUCAGAGACCACGAGGGCCGAUCUCAGAAAUCGAAGAGGCACCUACUUUUCCAGCCUUGUCAGCACCUGUCACACGCACACUCAGCUUUGCGGAAAUUAUGGGCAUUCUGUCGAAGAUUUCUGGCGAAGUAGAAAGCACAUGAAUCGUACUGUUCAAUCACCCACUUCCCACACGCAACAGUAACUCAUGGGUACCACAGAUAACUUUGCCAAAGUUCUCUGACAAAGUUGAGACACGUGAAGCUUGCAGCUCCCGCUACAUCGCUCUGACCAAGAAGAGUAAAAGAAUUGCAAAGAAACAACACUAACAAAGUUUAGACACAUAAAUUUUGAAGGUCUAGCUACCAUAUUAUUACCCACAAGGGUAAAGGAACAGUACCACUGCUGGAUAAUUGGAAAGUCCCG
This 424-nucleotide long non-coding RNA is filed under the name Malus domestica (apple). RNAcentral describes it as "long non-coding RNA (MDOM_LNC016189)". Lineage: Eukaryota; Viridiplantae; Streptophyta; Magnoliopsida; Rosales; Rosaceae. The record is from RNAcentral.